RNAcentral lists this ribosomal RNA (464 nucleotides) under Streptococcus sanguinis. RNAcentral describes it as "bacterial SSU rRNA". It matches the Rfam family "Bacterial small subunit ribosomal RNA", at positions 28 to 474 of the family's 1533-position model. The record is from RNAcentral. Lineage: Bacteria; Bacillati; Bacillota; Bacilli; Lactobacillales; Streptococcaceae.
GACGAACGCUGGCGGCGUGCCUAAUACAUGCAAGUAGAACGCUGAAGAGAGGAGCUUGCUCUUCUUGGAUGAGUUGCGAACGGGUGAGUAACGCGUAGGUAACCUGCCUGGUAGCGGGGGAUAACUAUUGGAAACGAUAGCUAAUACCGCAUGACAUUGAUUAUCGCAUGAUAAUUGAUUGAAAGAUGCAAUUGCAUCACUACCAGAAGGACCUGCGUUGUAUUAGCUAGUUGGUGAGGUAACGGCUCACCAAGGCGACGAUACAUAGCCGACCUGAGAGGGUGAUCGGCCACACUGGGACUGAGACACGGCCCAGACUCCUACGGGAGGCAGCAGUAGGGAAUCUUCGGCAAUGGGGGGAACCCUGACCGAGCAACGCCGCGUGAGUGAAGAAGGUCUUCGGAUCGUAAAGCUCUGUUGUAAGAGAAGAACGGGUGUGAGAGUGGAAAGUUCACACUGUGACG